CAGCAGCCACGGUAAUACGUAGGUGGCAAGCGUUGUCCGGAAUUAUUGGGCGUAAAGGGCUCGCAGGCGGUUUCUUAAGUCUGAUGUGAAAGCCCCCGGCUCAACCGGGGAGGGUCAUUGGAAACUGGGAAACUUGAGUGCAGAAGAGGAGAGUGGAAUUCCACGUGUAGCGGUGAAAUGCGUAGAGAUGUGGAGGAACACCAGUGGCGAAGGCGACUCUCUGGUCUGUAACCGACGCUGAGGAGCGAAAGCGUGGGGAGCGAACAGGAUUAGAUACCCCCGUAGUCCCUGUCUCUUAUAC
This 301-nucleotide ribosomal RNA is filed under the name uncultured bacterium. RNAcentral's name for it is "partial 16S ribosomal RNA". It matches the Rfam family "Bacterial small subunit ribosomal RNA", at positions 509 to 807 of the family's 1533-position model. The record is from RNAcentral.